UCCGCUGUGUCGGACUCGAGACAAAUUCAUUACUAGAAACUGCUUUCAUAUGAGAUGCUUUCAUCCAUGAAUGGUGAUAAUCCAUCAUGACUGAACUUAGAAUUUGCUCGAGAGAAACUUCAUAUGUUUCUAUUCUUUCCGUCAAAAACCCGUAAAGUGUAGUAUUACUUCGGAUAGAGCAGAAGGAAGGCCUGGUCAAAGUCGAAUCAACAACAUCCAUGAACGGGGGAAAGUGGAGAGGGCAAUCUAACGCGACUCAGAGAGAUUUCACUCAGUUAGCCCGCGUUAAAUGUGGGCAGCUACGCAGCCGUUAGCUGUGGGUUUUUUCUGAAACAUGUGAUGAUGGUCAUUUAACUCAAUAAGUAAAUAGUUAUUUGUAUAUUUUCUAUAUCAUCCAGUGAAACACUUCCAAGAAAUUCCAUUGUCCGUAAUGAAGGUCGUGUAUAAUGCAUAAUUGCAGUCUGUGAUUAACAUUCAACGAAAGUGUAGGCUGAGGCUGAAUUUCUUUGAGAGCAUAAGGACCACCAAGAGUUUCGAUCGUUUUUAUGUGAGUCUCAGGUACCAAAGUACCCACUUACCUAAAUCGAACAAGAAUAUGUCACUUGUGGAAAACGUUUUUAACGCAAGACUUAAAUAGACCUAUGAAAGUAGAAUGGGUGUGCUUCUAUAAAUGUAUUACUAAACGAGACAACAAUGUUCUAAGUAAAAAACAUAUAUAAACUUUCGUUGAGGCACUGAUAAUUGCAAUAACAAGCAUGGUGAUCUUAUGCUGUUAUCAAUUCGAAGCGGCUGUCAACACAUAUGUGUGAUCUAUGGAGGAAUAUACAAAUAAUCGGAGAAGUCAAAAUUUUGUGCGAGACCCAAUGGGCACGUUUCACCGACAGCCACUCCUCGAGCGACUUCGUAAACAGUCCGUUCGAUUGUUAAUGUCAGCCGAUCAUGCCUCCAUGGAGAUAAAAUUGCCAUCGAACUUUAUCGAUGAUUUAACACAGUGCCUUGAUGCAGGGGACCCGGAACAUAUCGAGCCUUGCCUGGGUCUUCUAUCUAGAGUGACGUUUACUCAGCCUGCGGCGAAGCAGCAUGAGAUUCAGGAUCUUAAAGUGUACAUUUUCUGGAAGAGACUUUAUGUCAAGCGUGUUGGCUACUCCAAAAAGAACAAAAGCUUCAUCGAAGCCAAUACGUUAAAAGCGGCUUCAGUUGUUAUCUGCUCGCCGACAACACCCGCAAUAGUGAAGCGGUCCGUUAAAGGAGAUAUUCUAUUGAUUGUACUGAAUCGAUAUAUCAAAGCGGGAUUGACGCCGCCGCACGAUUUUUUCGUCAGUCUAACUCGUUAUGCCAAGCCAAUAAGUGAUCGCCAAGCGGUCGUGCUUGCCGAGUGUCUGUUAGAGCGGACUCAUGACGAGACGUGGGCCUACCUAAUUCCUGUGUAUCCACAGUUAUUGAAAUUUCUGCUCGUUCUGAACUAUGGCGGUGAGGCAUUCUUGAUGAGGGUGAGGCUCGCUUGCGAUAAGUGGCCGUUGCUUAAUGAUUUAAUUUACGAAUAUGCUCAGACGAUUGGUGAUGAAAAUGCGAAAAACACUAUUUUUGGGAAGAUUAUUGACUGCCGCAUCGAAUCAAGUAUUCCAUGCAUGAAAUAGAAAACUGGAUCUGUAUUGUAGUAAGAAAAAACCAGUAAAUAGAUAUUUAUAAAUCUCACAAGUGUUAAGGUAUGAUUACUGUUACUAAAAGAUUUCCGAAAAUAAUAACAUUAAAGAAAUGACUGUGCACUACUAUCGUUUAUCGUUUAACAUAUUCAUAAUUGUUUACUGUAAAAUGGUGAGUUUCUUACAAUUAAGAUUAGUAUAAUUUUAAUAUAUAUGAAGGGCACUGAAAUAAUGGCGUAAAUAUCUCAUCGAAUGUUGUAAACUAUAGCAUGUUGCGUGCGUCAGUAUAUUUCAAUAGAUAUUAUUUGAAUUGUACUUGAAUGAUUAAUAUCCCGUGCUUUUGCGGCAAUUUAGCCAUACGAAACUAAUGUGCUUAAUUGUAGAUUGCUAGAUUACUAGACUAGCCCAUUGUAAUCAGAAGAUUGUACAGGCCUCAAACUUUUAUUUAAGACGAACAAAAACAAUCAAGGAAGCCGUUUUGUAUUUCGGUAAUCUUUUAUUAGACGUAGCAUAUGGCUAUUGCUAAAUGUGUCUUUUAAUAGACAAUGGAUCUUUUUUUACUGCACCUUAUUUCCUUCCUUAAUGCCGCAUGUUUACUAAUAUCAGUGAAACAAUAUUACUGGUUGUUGUGGAUUAAAAGGCAGAUAAAUUAGCGGAAGAGCAGGUAGAAUGAACGGAAACAGUAGAUAUUUAUACUCUGCAAAACCUAAUGUGAAGUUGGAAAAAUAUGGCUAACUCACUACUAGAUAUAAAUAGAUUAUAUAGCUGGUAAUUUUAAAGAAAAAAAAACUGAAAUUUGAAAUACGUCCAAAGGGCCUAGCGUUUCUCACGUGUAUCGACAAAUACGGAUCGACCAUCAAAAACAACUAAAUGUUGCAUAUGUAUUCAAAAGCCGAUGGCACUCACAGCAUGCUGUACGAGAUACCAGUACUGAGGAAAACACUGAGUUGAUGACGGUCGAGCGAAUAGUGAAGCAUUACUUAAUCAAAAAGUGGGAGUAAUCGAUGUUCACACAAGAUUCGGAAACUGUCGGAGAGAGCCUUGUAAUAGCUAAUUCAGAUGCAAUAAAAAACCGUCUUCCCAAUCUCUUGCUGUAACAGAAGUGUUGUGCAGUUCUUGAAAUUGACUAAGAUAGCUGUUGAUCGGGGAAGCAAC
Molecule: non-coding RNA, 2798 nt
Organism: Varroa destructor (honeybee mite)
Lineage: Eukaryota; Metazoa; Arthropoda; Arachnida; Mesostigmata; Varroidae
Source: RefSeq, a predicted model, not a curated record